This 491-nucleotide ribosomal RNA is filed under the name uncultured bacterium. RNAcentral's name for it is "partial 16S ribosomal RNA". It matches the Rfam family "Bacterial small subunit ribosomal RNA", at positions 29 to 507 of the family's 1533-position model. The record is from RNAcentral.
AGUGAACGCUGGCGGUAGGCCUAGCACAUGCAAGUCGAACGGCAGCACAGUAAGAGCUUGCUCUUACGGGUGGCGAGUGGCGGACGGGUGAGGAAUACAUCGGAAUCUACUUUUUCGUGGGGGAUAACGUAGGGAAACUUACGCUAAUACCGCAUACGACCUACGGGUGAAAGCAGGGAUCUUCGGACCUUGCGCGGAUGAAUGAGCCGAUGUCGGAUUAGCUAGUUGGCGGGGUAAAGGCCCACCAAGGCGACGAUCCGUAGCUGGUCUGAGAGGAUGAUCAGCCACACUGGAACUGAGACACGGUCCAGACUCCUACGGGAGGCAGCAGUGGGGAAUAUUGGACAAUGGGCGCAAGCCUGAUCCAGCCAUACCGCGUGGGUGAAGAAGGCCUUCGGGUUGUAAAGCCCUUUUGUUGGGAAAGAAAAGCAGCAGGUUAAUACCCCGCUGUUCUGACGGUACCCAAAGAAUAAGCACCGGCUAACUUCGUG